ACGCAGAGUCUCUUGCCCAGAGUAGGGGACUCAAGAACCAGAGGACAUAGGUUUAAGGUGAAGGGGAAAAGAUUUAAUAGGAAUCUGAGGGGUAACUUUUGCACACAAAGGGCGGUGGGUGUAUGGAACAAG
Molecule: long non-coding RNA, 132 nt
Organism: Amblyraja radiata (thorny skate)
Lineage: Eukaryota; Metazoa; Chordata; Chondrichthyes; Rajiformes; Rajidae
Exons: 3
Source: RefSeq, a predicted model, not a curated record